UCCAAAGUCUUUCAUUUUCUUUUAUUUCUCUCCAAAACUCAAUUUGCAAAUAGAGCAUAAGAGAUUAGUCUCAUAUAGUAUUCGCAAUUAAGGCCGCCCUGCCCAUGUCCACACAAUGCCCACCAAAAUUAGGACAUGUUCAUUUUUAAAUAGGACAUGAAAUAUCAUUCUCUGCCCGCCCUAAACAUGGGGACGGUGGGCUAGUGGACUGGCAUAAAUUAAAAAAAAACUAAAAGUGGUCUAGUACAUGGAACAUUGCAAUAUAUUAUAUAUUAUCUCUUAUUUUUUAUUUCACUGCUGAAACAUUGCAAUAUUCAUGUUAUCAUACUUAAGAUAACAUAGAUGCACAAUAUGACAGUAUAAUUCACAACACAAAACAUAACACAUUUUUUGCAUAAAACGGACAUGCAGUUAAUUAGUAAGAUAUUAUAUUUUGGAAAAUUGCUACAUUGUACUCGAAUAGUGAAAGCAUAAAUUACUGUGUCAUACUUGGCUCAUCAAAUUUCUUAUUGUAGUAUUCAUUGAUGCAUGUGGGCCGCUGUCUACCCGUUUGAAAUUCCCGUAGACGAAAAGGGCAUGUUUAAUGGGUAAUUUAGGACGGAUGGACACAUUUGUUAUCAUCUGCCCGCCCAAAAUGUGCGGUGGGCAUAUGGGCAUGGCCCAAAUUGUCAUUGAUAGUCUCACAAGUGAAAGGGUCACCACAAAGCACAAGUGGCUAAGGGGAAGACCAAUAGAUCAAGAAAUGCUAAUUGUAGAACUUGGUGCUACAGAAAUAGGGACCUUUAUUAUCAGUUUUAGGCAAUGAAGGUCCACCACGAGCACCGAUGAAAAAUAAGCAAUGCACUCAGAAAUGUUCAUUAUUGUCAAUAAAGAACAGUGAUUUAAAAUGCAGUCCGAAAAAGAUAUUGCAACCACAAUAUUGUAGUUGUAGCCAGCUCUGCAACAACAACAUACUAAAAUUAUGGUGUGAUUGAGAUUCACCCUAAAAAGGAAACACAAUGGUGAUGUGGUCGCAACAAAAUGGUGAUGUGGCCACAACAAAACCACAAUGCACCAGUAAGGACAAAAUCACAUGCCCAAUACUCCACUUUCACUCUGAGACCUCAAUAGUUCCCUUCCAUCUCUCUAUUUUUAUAACGUAGCUGACUUGAGCUUGCUUAUUGUCAAUUGCAAAAAAGUUGGCUUUUUACUCCAUGAUUUCCUCUCUAGAGAAAAUGAAAAAAGAAGAACUGAGUUGACCCAUAUAGAAAAAGAAAGUUGAGAUAUGAAUGCUUUAGAGGAAAGGAUGUGGAAAAAAUGGGGAUGUGGGAAGAUGAGAUAUGGAAAAAUGGGGACUGGAAAAGAUGGGAUAUGUGGACAAAAUGUGGCUAAAUGAAAGGAUGGAAAUGUGGCUUCAUUUCAGCUUUGCCAUUAAAAAUAAAAUGUAGUCCAUACACCAAAGUAAAUGAGAC
This 1451-nucleotide long non-coding RNA is filed under the name Lupinus angustifolius (narrow-leaved blue lupine). Its description in RNAcentral is "long non-coding RNA (LANG_LNC000456)". The record is from RNAcentral. Lineage: Eukaryota; Viridiplantae; Streptophyta; Magnoliopsida; Fabales; Fabaceae.